Molecule: ribosomal RNA, 253 nt
Filed under: uncultured bacterium
Lineage: Bacteria
Description: partial 16S ribosomal RNA
Rfam family: Bacterial small subunit ribosomal RNA
Source: RNAcentral
UACGGAGGGUGCAAGCGUUACUCGGAAUUACUGGGCGUAAAGCGCGUGUAGGUGGCUUCAUAAGUCUGGUGUGAAAGCCCGGGGCUUAACCCCGGAAGUGCAUUGGAUACUGUGAGGCUAGAGUGUGGGAGAGGAGAGUGGAAUUCCUGGUGUAGAGGUGAAAUUCGUAGAUAUCAGGAGGAACACCGGUGGCGAAGGCGGCUCUCUGGACCAUUACUGACACUGAGACGCGAAAGCGUGGGGAGCCAACAGG